RNAcentral lists this ribosomal RNA (440 nucleotides) under uncultured bacterium. RNAcentral describes it as "partial 16S ribosomal RNA". It matches the Rfam family "Bacterial small subunit ribosomal RNA", at positions 338 to 795 of the family's 1533-position model. The record is from RNAcentral.
CCUACGGGUGGCAGCAGUGGGGAAUAUUGCACAAUGGGGGAAACCCUGAUGCAGCGACGCCGCGUGAGUGAAGAAGUAAUUCGUGAUGUAAAGCUCUAUCAGCAGGGAAGCAAAUGACGGUACCUGAGUAAGAAGCCCCGGCUAACUACGGGCCAGCAGCCGCGGUAAUACGUAGGGGGCAAGCGUUAUCCGGAUUUACUGGGUGUAAAGGGAGCGUAGACGGCAGUGCAAGUCUGGAGUGAAAGGCGGGGGCGCAACCCCCUGAGUGCUCUGGAAACUGUACGGCUGGAGUGAAGGAGAGGUAAGUGGAAUUCCUAGUGUAGCGGUGAAAUGCGUAGAGAUUAGGAGGAACACCAGUGGCGAAGGCGGCUUACUGGACUGUAACUGACGUUGAGGCUCGAAAGCGUGGGGAGCAAACAGGAUUAGAUACCCGAGUAGUC